Caenorhabditis elegans is the source of this 2137-nucleotide long non-coding RNA. Ensembl annotates it as ncRNA. Its record names the gene linc-152. The record is from Ensembl. NCBI's taxonomy places the organism in Eukaryota, Metazoa, Nematoda, Chromadorea, Rhabditida, Rhabditidae.
GUUUUCUAAGGUUGUUUUCAGUUUUUUUUUUUUUUCCAGACAAAAACCUAAAACCUAAAACCACCGGAAAAGUUUGCAAAAUGUCUUCCUAUUUUCUGCAAGAAGGCGCUGAAAAACACGGGAAACACGUCAGUAACCCAGUUGUUUUUUUGUUGCCACUUUUGGUACAAACAACAACAGAACUGUGUAUAUAAAGGAGGGAGAAGCUAUCAGUUUUUCACACUUUUCUUUGUGUAGCUAUAUCUCCCUGAAUACUAGAGAUAGGAAAAAGUGCCUAACUAUAAAAAUAUAGGUUGUGAAAUUUUAAAUAUUUUGUUAGUUGGCAAUUUUUUGCUAGCUUUAUUCCCCGCUGAGAUAUGAACCUAUUAUCAAGGUCUACCUCCACUCUAGGGUUCUCGCUCUUCAAACGCUUAUAACUUUACGAAUUUAAUAAAUAAAAAAAAGUUGUCCACUAAUAAAGUCUAGCUCACAUUUUUCUAAGUAUUAUCUCAGUUGGCAAUUUUGCCAUAGCUCCACUACCCGCCGAGAUAUGGGUAGUCAAAGCCACCCAUACUCUCAACUUCGAAACUUUCACAAAAAUUCGACCCCUUCUAAAUCUGAUAAAAGAAAAGAAAAAAUUCGCGCUGAUUUCUGAUUUCAAUAUUGUCAUCAAUGUCUUACAAUUAGACCAACGGUCGAAAUUAUGAUUUUCCGGCCACUUUUUUUUUUGAUAAACCAGUUGUUACCUUGUUCUAUGAUUAAGAAAUGGAAGGGCGGAUUGAAAAAGAGAAAAUUCUAGAAAAAACACAAAAAAGUUGCCAAAAGUCGGCAACAAUCGCUCAACUUUCGGCAGUUUUCUGGAGAAGCUGCGCAGCCGACACUGAGCGAGGCUCGCGUAAUGAUAGCUGUGAGAAAGGGAGCGGCCGGCAAUAAACUAGGCUCGCGUUGUGAUACUCAGAAAGGGGAAGCAACCGACAUCAAACGAGGCUCGCGUAUGUUCGCCCAGCUAUUAUCAGUCUUCGACGAACUUUCAAAGUUGCUACCAAAGACCAAAGUAUCCUGGCGACUACAGCAAAAUAAGUAUUGCUUCUUUUUCUAGUGCAUCCGGAGCUAAAAAUAGCUGCUCCUUCUCCUCACACGCUCUCACUCAUUGGCUCUUUUUGCUCCUCUCUUCUUUUUUUUCUCUUUUCCUCUUCGGAGCAUCAUCAUCAUCGAGAAAGAGCAGCAGAGCAGUGGUCUUCUUCUACUUCUUAUUCUAGUACAACUGGCCACUCUCCAACUCUCUGCGUCUCUUAUCACCCCCUAUUCUACUUUCCCAUUGAUUUUUUGUUUUCACCGCCACCACCACCAUUUGGUUCCGGGGACGGCGGAUCCUUGCCUCCUUGCUCCUUAACUUUUUGAUUUUUGUAUUGCUUUUUGUUGGAAUUUUAUCAAAACUGUUACCAACAUAAAUGUUAUCAUAUCUUCGUUGUAAUAUGACCUAGGGAAAAAUGAUUAACUAUCAAAAUAUUGGAAUUUUUAUAACUAAUAUUUUGUCAGUUGGCAAAUUUUUUAUAGCUCGUAUACUUUUUGAAAUAUAAGGCUUUAAAAAAAAUUUCUAAACUUUCGCGAUUUUUUCCUUACAAAAAAAAAGUUUGCCAUAUUUGUUGAGUUGAUAAUUUUUUAUUCUAAUUUUUUUUAAAUUUAUUCUUAAUUUUGAAAAAAAAUAAUGAAUUGCUAAGCGGGAAUUCAAAAAUAAUUAAUUUAAAAUUGGAAAAAUCCCACAAAAAUUAAAAAAAAAAUUUCCAAGUUUCCAAAACAAUUUCCCCCUUAAAAGUUAAUUUUUUGUUUUUCAGCAAGAGCAAAAUAUUUUUUAAAAUUUGCAAGUAUUCUCCAAAUGAAUAUUCAUCUCCACCCACACUUUCCGUAUCCAUGACAACGUCUCUUCGCACCUUUCCGGAUUUUUUUUUGCUCCCUGCUUCUAUUUUCUGGCUUUUUUUGAGUCAUAGAUCUAGAAAUAAUUGAGGUUUUAUUUGCGUACAAAUUUUAAUCUCCUUGUACAUUUUACACUUUUUCUGAUCUAAGUACUUUGAGUUAAGGUUUUUUGGGAAUUUUUGUGUUUUCUAGCUUAAAAAACCGUUCUUUUUUGCAAAUUAAUUUAUAUAAAAUGUUAAACUUG